This 468-nucleotide ribosomal RNA is filed under the name uncultured bacterium. Its description in RNAcentral is "partial 16S ribosomal RNA". It matches the Rfam family "Bacterial small subunit ribosomal RNA", at positions 28 to 507 of the family's 1533-position model. The record is from RNAcentral.
GACGAACGCUGGCGGCGUGCUUAACACAUGCAAGUCGAACGGAAAGGCCCUGCUUUUGUGGGGUGCUCGAGUGGCGAACGGGUGAGUAACACGUGAGUAACCUGCCCUUGACUUUGGGAUAACUUCAGGAAACUGGGGCUAAUACCGGAUAGGAGCUCCUGCUGCAUGGUGGGGGUUGGGAAGUUUCGGCGGUUGGGGAUGGACUCGCGGCUUAUCAGCUUGUUGGUGGGGUAGUGGCUUACCAAGGCUUUGACGGGUAGCCGGCCUGAGAGGGUGACCGGGUACAGGGGGACAGAGAUAGGGGCGGGGGGGCUGCGGGCGGGAGCAGUGGGGGAGGGGGGCGAGUGGGCGGAGGCAGGAAGGAGCGACUCCGGGUGGGGGAGGACGGGCGGGGGGGAGGAAAAGGCUUGGGCCUGUGAGGAAGCGGGAGUGACGGUACCGGGUAAGGAAGCACCGGCUAACUCCGUG